GAUUAGUUUGAUCCUGGCUCAGGACGAACGCUGGCGGCGUGCCUAAUACAUGCAAGUCGAGCGGACAGAUGGGAGCUUGCUCCCUGAUGUUAGCGGCGGACGGGUGAGUAACACGUGGGUAACCUGCCUGUAAGACUGGGAUAACUCCGGGAAACCGGGGCUAAUACCGGAUGGUUGUUUGAACCGCAUGGUUCAGACAUAAAAGGUGGCUUCGGCUACCACUUACAGAUGGACCCGCGGCGCAUUAGCUAGUUGGUGAGGUAACGGCUCACCAAGGCGACGAUGCGUAGCCGACCUGAGAGGGUGAUCGGCCACACUGGGACUGAGACACGGCCCAGACUCCUACGGGAGGCAGCAGUAGGGAAUCUUCCGCAAUGGACGAAAGUCUGACGGAGCAACGCCGCGUGAGUGAUGAAGGUUUUCGGAUCGUAAAGCUCUGUUGUUAGGGAAGAACAAGUGCCGUUCAAAUAGGGCGGCACCUUGACGGUACCUAACCAGAAAGCCACGGCUAACUACGUGCCAGCAGCCGCGGUAAUACGUAGGUGGCAAGCGUUGUCCGGAAUUAUUGGGCGUAAAGGGCUCGCAGGCGGUUUCUUAAGUCUGAUGUGAAAGCCCCCGGCUCAACCGGGGAGGGUCAUUGGAAACUGGGGAACUUGAGUGCAGAAGAGGAGAGUGGAAUUCCACGUGUAGCGGUGAAAUGCGUAGAGAUGUGGAGGAACACCAGUGGCGAAGGCGACUCUCUGGUCUGUAACUGACGCUGAGGAGCGAAAGCGUGGGGAGCGAACAGGAUUAGAUACCCUGGUAGUCCACGCCGUAAACGAUGAGUGCUAAGUGUUAGGGGGUUUCCGCCCCUUAGUGCUGCAGCUAACGCAUUAAGCACUCCGCCUGGGGAGUACGGUCGCAAGACUGAAACUCAAAGGAAUUGACGGGGGC
This 933-nucleotide ribosomal RNA is filed under the name Bacillus subtilis. RNAcentral's name for it is "bacterial SSU rRNA". It matches the Rfam family "Bacterial small subunit ribosomal RNA", at positions 1 to 920 of the family's 1533-position model. The record is from RNAcentral. Lineage: Bacteria; Bacillati; Bacillota; Bacilli; Caryophanales; Bacillaceae.